Hylaeus volcanicus is the source of this 737-nucleotide long non-coding RNA. RefSeq lists it as uncharacterized. The transcript is spliced from 3 exons. The record is from RefSeq and is a predicted model, not a curated record. NCBI's taxonomy places the organism in Eukaryota, Metazoa, Arthropoda, Insecta, Hymenoptera, Colletidae.
UCGGUGGGAAUUACUGUAGAAGUGGGAGCUACGUUUGUGCACGACGUGUGCCAAGAAUUUCGUUACCUGUCUUCAACGCGAGACGAUGAAAUCCUGUAGUAUUCCAUGUCGGGAGACGAGCAGCGUUGGCGUGCGAUGCAGUUCACUCGAAAUCCAAUCGACGCUCAAACGAAAGGCGCAAGGAUCCACGCGAGGGACCGAGGAAGACGACGGCAACGAAUUAUCAGGGCCGAGGGAAGGUUAACCGACUGACCUGGAAGCCUCCAAUCUGGACGACUUCCUGCGCGAGCAACGCACGGAUAUACGCGCGCAAUCAUCCUAUCCAUCGGCCAAUUGGAUGGCUCACCUGGAAAUCCGACGAAUUUACACGAGCAGACUCCACGUCAAUAGUAAAAAAAAACAAUUGAAUCCGCCAUAAAACGCUGAAAGGAAGAACGAGUAACCCUUUGUAUCGGAGGUCGACAACUUCUACUGACGUAAGCCACAUUAGGGUGUUGAGGUUUGUAAGGGUUGCCAGUUUUAAUUGCACGAAAUAGGGAAAAGAAAAGGUGCAAGUAGAGAUUAAAAAUAAAUGAAAUUCCUUAAUGUUUGUUUUUUAUGUGAAAUAAUAAACACUACAGAGCUAGAAGAGUUAAUUUUCAUCUUCUGUUCCUGUUUACCAUCUACUCGUGUAAUGUGUGCUUCGUCUUAUAGUAUUCAUUUAUUCCCGGUAAAACAAACGCUUGUAAAGAUGUGCA